AAAUUGAAGAGUUUGAUCAUGGCUCAGAUUGAACGCUGGCGGCAGGCCUAACACAUGCAAGUCGAACGGUAGGAAGCAGCUUGCUGCUUUGCUGACGAGUGGCGGACGGGUGAGUAAUGUCUGGGAAACUGCCUGAUGGAGGGGGAUAACUACUGGAAACGGUGGCUAAUACCGCAUAACGUCGCAAGACCAAAGAGGGGGACCUUCGGGCCUCUUGCCAUCAGAUGUGCCCAGAUGGGAUUAGCUUGUUGGUGAGGUAACGGCUCACCAAGGCGACGAUCCCUAGCUGGUCUGAGAGGAUGACCAGCCACACUGGAACUGAGACACGGUCCAGACUCCUACGGGAGGCAGCAGUGGGGAAUAUUGCACAAUGGGCGCAAGCCUGAUGCAGCCAUGCCGCGUGUAUGAAGAAGGCCUUCGGGUUGUAAAGUACUUUCAGCGGGGAGGAAGGUGUUGUGGUUAAUAACC
Molecule: ribosomal RNA, 468 nt
Filed under: Salmonella enterica subsp. enterica serovar Reading
Lineage: Bacteria; Pseudomonadati; Pseudomonadota; Gammaproteobacteria; Enterobacterales; Enterobacteriaceae
Description: bacterial SSU rRNA
Rfam family: Bacterial small subunit ribosomal RNA
Source: RNAcentral